RNAcentral lists this ribosomal RNA (2900 nucleotides) under Klebsiella quasipneumoniae. RNAcentral describes it as "23S ribosomal RNA". It matches the Rfam family "Bacterial large subunit ribosomal RNA". The record is from RNAcentral. Lineage: Bacteria; Pseudomonadati; Pseudomonadota; Gammaproteobacteria; Enterobacterales; Enterobacteriaceae.
UUAAGCGACUAAGCGUACACGGUGGAUGCCCUGGCAGUCAGAGGCGAUGAAGGACGUGCUAAUCUGCGAAAAGCGUCGGUAAGGUGAUAUGAACCGUUAUAACCGGCGAUGUCCGAAUGGGGAAACCCAGUGCAAUUCGUUGCACUAUCGUUAACUGAAUACAUAGGUUAACGAGGCGAACCGGGGGAACUGAAACAUCUAAGUACCCCGAGGAAAAGAAAUCAACCGAGAUUCCCCCAGUAGCGGCGAGCGAACGGGGAGCAGCCCAGAGUCUGAAUCAGCUUGUGUGUUAGUGGAACGGUCUGGAAAGUCCGACGGUACAGGGUGAUAGUCCCGUACACCAAAAUGCACAGGCUGUGAACUCGAAGAGUAGGGCGGGACACGUGGUAUCCUGUCUGAAUAUGGGGGGACCAUCCUCCAAGGCUAAAUACUCCUGACUGACCGAUAGUGAACCAGUACCGUGAGGGAAAGGCGAAAAGAACCCCGGCGAGGGGAGUGAAAAAGAACCUGAAACCGUGUACGUACAAGCAGUGGGAGCACCUUCGUGGUGUGACUGCGUACCUUUUGUAUAAUGGGUCAGCGACUUAUAUUCUGUAGCAAGGUUAACCGUAUAGGGGAGCCGCAGGGAAACCGAGUCUUAACUGGGCGUUAAGUUGCAGGGUAUAGACCCGAAACCCGGUGAUCUAGCCAUGGGCAGGUUGAAGGUUGGGUAACACUAACUGGAGGACCGAACCGACUAAUGUUGAAAAAUUAGCGGAUGACUUGUGGCUGGGGGUGAAAGGCCAAUCAAACCGGGAGAUAGCUGGUUCUCCCCGAAAGCUAUUUAGGUAGCGCCUCGUGAACUCAUCUUCGGGGGUAGAGCACUGUUUCGGCUAGGGGGUCAUCCCGACUUACCAACCCGAUGCAAACUACGAAUACCGAAGAAUGUUAUCACGGGAGACACACGGCGGGUGCUAACGUCCGUCGUGAAGAGGGAAACAACCCAGACCGCCAGCUAAGGUCCCAAAGUCAUGGUUAAGUGGGAAACGAUGUGGGAAGGCACAGACAGCCAGGAUGUUGGCUUAGAAGCAGCCAUCAUUUAAAGAAAGCGUAAUAGCUCACUGGUCGAGUCGGCCUGCGCGGAAGAUGUAACGGGGCUAAACCAUGCACCGAAGCUGCGGCAGCGACACGAUGUGUUGUUGGGUAGGGGAGCGUUCUGUAAGCCUGCGAAGGUGACCUGUGAGGGUUGCUGGAGGUAUCAGAAGUGCGAAUGCUGACAUAAGUAACGAUAAAGCGGGUGAAAAGCCCGCUCGCCGGAAGACCAAGGGUUCCUGUCCAACGUUAAUCGGGGCAGGGUGAGUCGACCCCUAAGGCGAGGCCGAAAGGCGUAGUCGAUGGGAAACAGGUUAAUAUUCCUGUACUUGGUGUUACUGCGAAGGGGGGACGGAGAAGGCUAUGUUAGCCGGGCGACGGUUGUCCCGGUUUAAGCAUGUAGGCUGGUUAUCCAGGCAAAUCCGGAUAAUCAAGGCUGAGGUGUGAUGACGAGGCACUACGGUGCUGAAGUAACAAAUGCCCUGCUUCCAGGAAAAGCCUCUAAGCAUCAGGUAACAUCAAAUCGUACCCCAAACCGACACAGGUGGUCAGGUAGAGAAUACCAAGGCGCUUGAGAGAACUCGGGUGAAGGAACUAGGCAAAAUGGUGCCGUAACUUCGGGAGAAGGCACGCUGGUGUGUAGGUGAAGUCCCUGCGGAUGGAGCUGAGACCAGUCGAAGAUACCAGCUGGCUGCAACUGUUUAUUAAAAACACAGCACUGUGCAAACACGAAAGUGGACGUAUACGGUGUGACGCCUGCCCGGUGCCGGAAGGUUAAUUGAUGGGGUUAUCCGUAAGGAGAAGCUCUUGAUCGAAGCCCCGGUAAACGGCGGCCGUAACUAUAACGGUCCUAAGGUAGCGAAAUUCCUUGUCGGGUAAGUUCCGACCUGCACGAAUGGCGUAAUGAUGGCCAGGCUGUCUCCACCCGAGACUCAGUGAAAUUGAACUCGCUGUGAAGAUGCAGUGUACCCGCGGCAAGACGGAAAGACCCCGUGAACCUUUACUAUAGCUUGACACUGAACAUUGAGCCUUGAUGUGUAGGAUAGGUGGGAGGCUUUGAAGCGUGGACGCCAGUCUGCGUGGAGCCAACCUUGAAAUACCACCCUUUAAUGUUUGAUGUUCUAACGUUGGCCCCUGACCGGGGUUGCGGACAGUGUCUGGUGGGUAGUUUGACUGGGGCGGUCUCCUCCCAAAGCGUAACGGAGGAGCACGAAGGUUAGCUAAUCCUGGUCGGACAUCAGGAGGUUAGUGCAAUGGCAUAAGCUAGCUUGACUGCGAGCGUGACGGCGCGAGCAGGUGCGAAAGCAGGUCAUAGUGAUCCGGUGGUUCUGAAUGGAAGGGCCAUCGCUCAACGGAUAAAAGGUACUCCGGGGAUAACAGGCUGAUACCGCCCAAGAGUUCAUAUCGACGGCGGUGUUUGGCACCUCGAUGUCGGCUCAUCACAUCCUGGGGCUGAAGUAGGUCCCAAGGGUAUGGCUGUUCGCCAUUUAAAGUGGUACGCGAGCUGGGUUUAGAACGUCGUGAGACAGUUCGGUCCCUAUCUGCCGUGGGCGCUGGAGAAUUGAGGGGGGCUGCUCCUAGUACGAGAGGACCGGAGUGGACGCAUCACUGGUGUUCGGGUUGUCAUGCCAAUGGCACUGCCCGGUAGCUAAAUGCGGAAGAGAUAAGUGCUGAAAGCAUCUAAGCACGAAACUUGCCCCGAGAUGAGUUCUCCCUGAGACUUUAAGUCUCCUGAAGGAACGUUAAAGACGAUGACGUUGAUAGGCCGGGUGUGUAAGCGCAGCGAUGCGUUGAGCUAACCGGUACUAAUGAACCGUGAGGCUUAACCU